UUUUAACGAGAGUUUGAUCCUGGCUCAGGAUGAACGCUGGCGGCGUGCUUAACACAUGCAAGUCGAACGAAGCACUUGAAUGGAAUUCUUCGGAAGGAAGCUCAAGUGACUGAGUGGCGGACGGG
RNAcentral lists this ribosomal RNA (125 nucleotides) under Coprococcus sp. AM25-4LB. RNAcentral's name for it is "partial 16S ribosomal RNA". It matches the Rfam family "Bacterial small subunit ribosomal RNA", at positions 1 to 106 of the family's 1533-position model. The record is from RNAcentral. Lineage: Bacteria; Bacillati; Bacillota; Clostridia; Lachnospirales; Lachnospiraceae.